AUGCUGCUAUGAGCUGUCGUCAGCUCGUGUCGUGAGAUGUUGGGAUAAGUCCCGCAACGAGCGCAACCCCUGUGAGCAGUUGCACGUUUCUGCUCAGACUGCCGCUGUUAAUGCGGAGGAAGGCGGGGAUGACGUCAAGUCAGCAUGGCUCUUACGCCCUGGGCGACACACAC
RNAcentral lists this ribosomal RNA (173 nucleotides) under uncultured bacterium. Its description in RNAcentral is "partial 16S ribosomal RNA". It matches the Rfam family "Bacterial small subunit ribosomal RNA", at positions 1038 to 1221 of the family's 1533-position model. The record is from RNAcentral.